This is a long non-coding RNA of Leopardus geoffroyi (Geoffroy's cat), 201 nucleotides long. RefSeq lists it as uncharacterized. NCBI's taxonomy places the organism in Eukaryota, Metazoa, Chordata, Mammalia, Carnivora, Felidae. The record is from RefSeq and is a predicted model, not a curated record. The transcript is spliced from 3 exons.
UUUUCCCAUCUUUUUUUUCAAAGCCAAGCGGCAAGGGCCGUUUAUUGCAGGUUGGAACCCGGACCUCCGCGCACUCUUGUCAGUGACGCUAAGAGGCCCCGAGCGAGGUUUUUCCAGCACUUUUAUAGACAGGCACAAACAGGUUAUGGGGAAGUUAGGGAUUUUUCGCGGUUACAGAGCUGUUAUUGUUUGACAUUUAAA